Molecule: ribosomal RNA, 439 nt
Filed under: uncultured bacterium
Lineage: Bacteria
Description: partial 16S ribosomal RNA
Rfam family: Bacterial small subunit ribosomal RNA
Source: RNAcentral
CUACGGGGCGCAGCAGUGGGGAAUAUUGCACAAUGGACGAAAGUCUGAUGCAGCAACGCCGCGUGGAGGAUGACACAUUUCGGUGCGUAAACUCCUUUUAUAUCCCAAGAUAAUGACGGUAGGAUAUGAAUAAGCGCCGGCUAACUCCGUGCCAGCAGCCGCGGUAAUACGGAGGGCGCAAGCGUUACUCGGAAUCACUGGGCGUAAAGAGCGUGUAGGCGGAUAGAUAAGUUGGGAGUGAAAUCCUAUGGCUUAACCAUAGAAUUGCUUCCAAAACUGUCUAUCUAGAAUAUGGGAGAGGUAGAUGGAAUUUCUGGUGUAGGGGUAAAAUCCGUAGAGAUCAGAAGGAAUACCGAUUGCGAAGGCGAUCUACUGGAACAUUAUUGACGCUGAGACGCGAAAGCGUGGGGAGCAAACAGGAUUAGAUACCCCUGUAGUC